RNAcentral lists this ribosomal RNA (775 nucleotides) under uncultured Neocallimastigales. Its description in RNAcentral is "partial large subunit ribosomal RNA". It matches the Rfam family "Eukaryotic large subunit ribosomal RNA", at positions 22 to 635 of the family's 3401-position model. Lineage: Eukaryota; Fungi; Neocallimastigomycota; Neocallimastigomycetes; Neocallimastigales. The record is from RNAcentral.
UCUAUACAUGACUCUGCGCAUAUCAAUAAGCGGAGGAAAAGAAACUAACAAGGAUUCCCCUAGUAACGGCGAGUGAAGCGGGAAGAGCUCAAAUUUGAAAUCUUAAAGGGUUUCCCUUUACGAAUUGUAGUUUAAAGAAGUGUUUUCUGUUGAGGUUUUGGUAAAAGUUCUUUGGAAUAGGACAUCAUAGAGGGUGAGAAUCCCGUAUUUGACCUUUACUUUCAACUUUGUGAUACACUUUCAAGGAGUCGGAUUGUUUGGGAAUGCAGUCCAAAAUGGGUGGUAAAUUUCAUCUAAAGCUAAAUAUUGGCGAGAGACCGAUAGCGAACAAGUACCGUGAGGGAAAGAUGAAAAGAACUUUGAAAAGAGAGUUAAACAGUACGUGUAAUUGUCAAAAGGGAAGCGUUUGACACCAGUGUUGUUUUUCUGAAAAUCAAUUAAAGAACUGUUUAUGCUAAGCUGUUUAGACUUUAUCAGCUAUCUGUUUAGUUUUGAGCUUUUCUUUAAUGCACUUUUCAGUUAACAAGUCAACAUCAAUUUCUUUUGCUGUAAAAAAGCUUGAGGAAGGUGGCUUGAGAUUCGUCUUAAGUGUUUAUAGCCUCUUGCCUAUGCAGUCGGAGAGAUUGAGGUCUGCAGCGUAGAUCCUUCGGGGCUAAAUGCAUUUGUGCUAAGUUAUAGCAUUUUAUAGACAACUUGUUGACUAUGAUUUGUCUUGUAGCUUACUCGCUUAUGUUAUUUUACCUACGCUUAGGAUGUUGAUCUACAGAGCGAGAGU